AUGACCCCCUGGCAGGGGAUAAUCAACCACAGAGCUCCUUCUGAGUUUGCAGAGUAAAGCCUGGCACCCCUUCCACUGGCACCAGCAGGACAGCUCUUCAUCCCAUCCCCUCUUCUGAUUCUGGCUCCUGACCUCUGGCUUUGGAGUUCGACUCCUCAUGCUGAAUGUGGCUCUCGAUUCCUUACUUCAGUUUGCCCAGACGCUCUCAGUAAGUGCCUUGGUUGUUACAGCGAUGAACUGAACAGAGAAUUAAGCAAGUAACGGUCAGUUCAGAGUACAGAAGAUAGCUGAGAAAGAUGAGGAAGGCUGAUAUUGUGGCCACUAGUAAAGCAGAAAGAAGAGAUUGAUGAUGUAUCACCACGAGCAAUAAAGCGCAAGAAACUCCUUGCCAGCACAAAGAGAUGAUCUGGACAAACAGCAGGAAAUGGGUCACUGCAGCUGUGUCUGCUUUGGAGGCUGUGAGAAUGAAAGAAGUCAAAAGGAGAAAAUUGCAGCAAUCAAAAUAGAGGGCAGUUAGGGCCCAUAUGGGCCCUUCAGUAUCAUGGGCAGAGUGAGAAAUCCAGGUUUUAUAGGUGGUGUGUGACAUCACAGGAAGAAUUAUGGGAUUAUCAGAGGGGAGAAAGGGAACAUAAUGAGAAUUUGAGGAAUGUCAUUAACCACACAUGCUUUCUGUUAAGUUCUGCUCAAAACUUCACUUCUACUUCUCCUGAAUUACUUUGUGCUUAUCUUUGAGAAGCAGGGAAAUAGAAAGAUCAAGUAGACUGAAUAGGAGUGAAAGUCAGAGAAAACAAGAACGGAUGAAGAACGGGUGCCUUAGAACUGUCUCAACCAGCAUACAUGUACUGCACUCGAUGGCUCCAAGUAGAUAAUUCCCAUGUUAUUUAGGAUAGGGCUUAAUCCCAGAUUACUGAUAAAUUUCUCUCCCAAUGCCCAUCUUCAUUUCUUUGCCUACACAGCACUUAGAUUCCUCCUGCCUACCACGAUCUCCAAGAUAAUCAAUUCCCCCCUUGUUAGGUAGGUCCCUCAGAAGCCCUGUCUGCCAAAAAUGCCAGCUCCCCCUCACUAUCUUCUGCACAGAUGCAUGACAGCAAAGCUGUUCUUCCUGUACAGCAUUAGCCAUAUUGUUAACUUCGAACAUUCAUCCGUUUAGGAAGGCAAUCCUACACAGGCUUCACAUUCAGGAGCCUCGUGGCUCUAUUCCUUGUAUUCUUUUAGGAAACCUGACUUCCGAUACAACUGACCUAUUUCUCAGCUAUGCCUCUGGAUUGCAGCUGGGUUGUGUCAGUACUGCUAGAGGCACUUUAGCAAAGUCCAAAAGCAAGAGAUUAAUUAUACUUGGAGAUAGGGGAGAACUAUCUGCACCACAUGUAAUACACAUAUUAAUAUGUAUUUUGUAUGGCUACGGAAUAUAAAUUAUGCACAGCUAGCUUUUUCCACUUCCCUCUCUUUAACAGUAAAAAUGCCUCUAACACAGUCCUGCUCUAGUCUCCUUAUACUUGACAGUAUCUAGAACAAGCAGUGGUCAGCCUUUUCCCCCUGGCUGGGGGAUGCAGCAGUCAGUGCGACACCGGGUAUGUCUGCGAUGUCCUCCCUUCGUGCUCUUUGCUAACCCUCCCCAGCUACAACCAAGCCAGCGGGGGGAGGAAACCCUCACAGUCAAACCCAGAAAGCACUGAGUGGAAACAAAUAAGGUUGCUAAGGAACAGUAAAGAUAAACUCCAACCCAUAAAAUCCAGGAAACAGAAAGGAGUUCAUAUGCUCUUUUCAAACACACGUCACUCAUUGCUCUCAGUGCUCAGUCUGUCACAUCAGACUAGCACAGGGCUCAGGCUCUGAUUGUAUGCGCCCAGGACCGAUACCCAAGAAUGUGGACAUCUCAAGAACCUAGCACAUCAUGCCACUUAACAAUAUCUACCUCUCACCCUAGUUUUCUUAAUUGCACCACACAUAAAGAGAGCCAAGUAAACUUGCAGUGCAGUGCAGAUAGACUCUAAAUUCUGUCUAUCAUUAGUUAUCCAUAACGACAGUAGCCUCAUUAACAUAUGCCAGUGGCACAGUUGGGCAACAUCAGCAUACAAACAGAGGCACAAAUGAUACUUUCCCUGCCAUUGCCAUCCUGCCAGCUAAAGACAGCACAGGUUUGACUGCUGAUUUGCAGCUCCACCUCCAUUUUACCGCACUGGUACAGCCUCGGGAGCCACGCUUUGCCCACAGGGAUUUUCUUGAAACCAGAUCUAUUACUGCACUCAACUGUAAAUAAAGCUAUCUCUAGUGUGUUGGGAGGUAAGAUGAAAGCCAGGGGAAAGGGGUGAACAUGCCAGUUAUGCCUUGCCCAAGCCAUGCAGACCCCAGGGGUAUGUUUGUGUGUUUUCAGUGCCUGGUGAACUCUGGAAGCAAGGGGCAAUCGAGGCAAGGCAAGCCCCUUUCAUCAGCUGCCCUUUGGGCACCUUCCUCAUGCACACAGCUACAUUGCAGCACCUGACAAAUUUCAUCACACUUUAGAAGAGUCUGGAAAAUAAGAACGUGCCACCAGAAAGGUUAUAUUUAGCCCUCCUAUCUCCAUUCACCUUGAGUUAAAUCAGAUACUCAGAAUGUAGCGAUUGCCUACCAUGCAUACGUGCAGUUGUACAUGCCGUACAUCUGAAAUCACAUUAGCCACCAGCCUUGUGGUUUAAUCAGUGCUUCACAGCAAGGUUGAAACCUCUCUGAAAGAAGUGAGGUGAACUCAGUUGCUAAUUUGGCUUCAUCCUAUCUCGUCAUACAGAGAUCAGAGUGGUUCAUUUC
Long non-coding RNA from Strigops habroptila (Kakapo), 2784 nucleotides. RefSeq lists it as uncharacterized. The record is from RefSeq and is a predicted model, not a curated record. Lineage: Eukaryota; Metazoa; Chordata; Aves; Psittaciformes; Psittacidae. The transcript has 2 exons.